Molecule: long non-coding RNA, 1717 nt
Organism: Aedes aegypti (yellow fever mosquito)
Lineage: Eukaryota; Metazoa; Arthropoda; Insecta; Diptera; Culicidae
Exons: 3
Source: RefSeq, a predicted model, not a curated record
GAAAAGCAGUCGAGUGUCACUGUGGCGCUGCUGGUCGCAGUCGGUUGCGAUCCGUGUUCCGUUCCGGUCGUGUUUUCUGGUUUCCUCCUCUCGAACUCUCUUGGUGGUUGACUUCCGCUGGUCUGGUGUGGGAAGAACGGCAGCAGAGUGUCGUUUUCCAGUGCAGGUCUGGUCCGCUGUCGGUUCGAAUAAUAAUCACAGUAUGAUUUCCUUUGGGGACGCGGACGGAUGGCUUUCUUGCUGGGUGUCCACUUUUUCCCCAGUCAGGAGAAGUUUAUUAGCAUAAUGUGAUUUUCUCGUGGAAGUUGGUUCCCAGACUUAGCAAAAAUCACGUUUUUCGAGGAAAGGUGAAACGAACAGAAAAGUGUGUUACAAGAGUGAACUGCAAGAAAAAGUCAGCAAACUGCGGAAUCGUGAAACGAAAUCGAACAGAACAGAAGUAACGAAAGUUCGGCAUAUCGGCAUAUUGGCUCCACGCUAUAAAACAGUGAGUGUUCCGUUGUGGAUUUUAUUUUCCUUUGUUCGGGGAAAAAGACGAAAAAAGACCCCAAAUGUGGAACGUCGGGUUGUGGGGCAGUAGAAGCAGCUGUGUCUGGAGUAGGUUUGCCGAGUAGGAAACACGCAACCAGUGCGAUGCGACGUGACGACGACAACAAUCAGGCAAACAGGGAACCGAACAAAGAGACAGACGCACAAGAGACCACAGAGAGGGAAGAACUAACGAAAUUCAGUGUCAAACCACCAUCCCACCAUCGCGCAUCGCUCUGCUGCUCUGGGGCACAAAGGAGAUCGAAGCGAAAGUUUUGUGGGUCGCAUUAUGCGAUACCGACACUGCUUGCUGCACUGAGGUGGCCCAUUUUUGUAUGAAGGGAAUCAAACUGUAAAAUGAGAAUUCGCGGCAGUACCUUGGCAUAUGGAAUAUGAUUCGUGGAAUAUUCAUCCCUGCUUUUUGUGAAAACUUGAAAAGUCUUCGUUCCAAAGGAAAGCCUCUACAUUGCUCAUGUUAUUUCGACCAUCCCAUCUAUCCCCGAACAGAAACCCGCAGGAAGAGUGCCCCACAGCGCAACAUCGGUUAAUUAUAAUACCGGCGAAGGUUUUCGCUGAAUCUGCAACUUCAAGAGCACCCACGACAUCGCCUUCGCCGUCUUCAAUAAUGUUUUGCUGAUGCCACCCCAACACAAGCUGGCAGCAUCAUCCUCCCAUCCGAACCAAGUGGGUACCCCAGAACAUCAUAAGUGCCUCUGCUGUUCCAGCAUCCUUUCACUCGUCGAUACACUUUCUGGUGACUCUUUUUAAUUCAUUCAUUGGCGUUUGCCACGUCGAAGGCGUGAAUCCCAGGAAAUCGGCCGGAACCAGAGCCCUUCACAACGGCAACGAACGAACGAUCGAACGUGUGGAAAAGCGCCCGUCCAAAGUGAGAUAACACAUGUUUUUUGUUUGCGCGGCUUCUCCACGGCUCGCUCGGAUCUCUUUGAGAACACUGGAGCCACUUCUUGGCGGCGGGGACCCGCGAGGGUAACAUCUGCCGAAGAGCGUGCUGCAGUGUUAGAGCAGCCAUGUGGAGGAGUGCGGAGUCGACGCGUUUCUGGUGGUUGGUCGACAUCUUCGGCAGUCGAAGCCCACUCUGCACAGUGUUUUAAGUUGCUGAUUUCGUGGUCGAAAUAGAAAAGUUCCUGAACCGUCGAGUUUAUCAUUAAAGUUUGAAAAGAAAAAAAAA